GACGAACGCUGGCGGCGUGCCUAAUACAUGCAAGUCGAGCGAAGUUUUUCUGGUGCUUGCACCGGAAAAACUUAGCGGCGAACGGGUGAGUAACACGUAAAGAACCUGCCUCAUAGACUGGGACAACUAUUGGAAACGAUAGCUAAUACCGGAUAAUAGCAUUAACUGCAUGGUUGAUGUUUAAAAGUUGGUUUUGCUAACACUAUGAGAUGGCUUUGCGGUGCAUUAGCUAGUUGGUGGGGUAAAGGCCUACCAAGGCGACGAUGCAUAGCCGACCUGAGAGGGUGAUCGGCCACACUGGGACUGAGACACGGCCCAGACUCCUACGGGAGGCAGCAGUAGGGAAUCUUCCGCAAUGGGCGAAAGCCUGACGGAGCAACGCCGCGUUAGUGAAGAAGGAUUUCGGUUCGUAAAGCUCUGUUGUUAGGGAAGAAUGAUUGUGUAGUAACUAUACACAGUAGAGACGGUACCUAACCAGAAAGCCACGGCUAACUACGUG
RNAcentral lists this ribosomal RNA (499 nucleotides) under uncultured bacterium. RNAcentral's name for it is "partial 16S ribosomal RNA". It matches the Rfam family "Bacterial small subunit ribosomal RNA", at positions 28 to 507 of the family's 1533-position model. The record is from RNAcentral.